Molecule: ribosomal RNA, 554 nt
Filed under: uncultured archaeon
Lineage: Archaea
Description: bacterial SSU rRNA
Rfam family: Archaeal small subunit ribosomal RNA
Source: RNAcentral
UCGGGGUGCAGCAGGCGCGAAAACUUUACAAUGCUGGCAACAGCGAUAAGGGGACCUCGAGUGCCAGGAUACAAUCUUGGCUGUCGUGAUGCCUAAAAAGCAUUACAUAGCAAGGGCCGGGCAAGACCGGUGCCAGCCGCCGCGGUAACACCGGCGGCUCGAGUGGUAACCGCUAUUAUUGGGUCUAAAGGGUCUGUAGCCGGCCGGAUAGGUCUCUUGGGAAAUCCAGCAGCUCAACUGUUGGGCUUCCAGGGGAUACUGUUCGGCUCGAGGCCGGGAGAGGUGAGAGGUACUUCAGGGGUAGGGGUGAAAUCUUGUAAUCCUUGAAGGACCACCAGUGGCGAAGGCGUCUCACCAGAACGGUCCUGACGGCAAGGGACGAAAGCUAGGGGCACGAACCGGAUUAGAUACCCGGGUAGUCCUAGCCGUAAACGAUACUCGCUAGGUGUCAGCCACGGUGCGACCGUGGUUGGUGCCGUAGGGAAGCCGUGAAGCGAGCCACCUGGGAAGUACGGCCGCAAGGCUGAAACUUAAAGGAAUUGGCGGGGGAGCAC